GAGGUGCGGAAAUCCGGUGAGGUGAUGGCGGACGACGUCGUUCCGAAGACGUUCCGUGCGUUGGUAGAAAGUGCGGAGAAGAAAUAUGCAAGAGUACGGGAUUUACCGGCGUACGGACGGUGGGGAACGAGUAACCACUACUUUCACAAGGUGUUUAAGGCGUACAUGAGGUUAUGGAAGUAUCAGCAGGAGAACAGGAUGAGGCUUUUGGAGUGUGGAUUACAGCGUUGGGAGAUCGGAGAGAUCGCUUCACGGAUCGGUCAGCUUUACUUUAGUCAGUAUAUGAGGACUAGUGAAGCGAGGUUUUUACUCGAGUCGUGUAUUUUCUAUGAAGCGAUUUUGAACAGGAAGUAUUUUGAAGGUUCUGGAAAAGAUCGGAUGGUGAGGUUUAAGGAGCUGAGGUUCUAUGCCAGGUUUUUGAUGGUUUCGUUGAUUUUGAACCGGACGGAAAUGGUGAACCUGCUGGUUGAGCAGUUUAAAGCUAUUGUUGAUGACAGUAAAACUGCUUUUCCGGGUACUAACUUCAAAGAGUGGAGACUAGUGGUGCAAGAAAUAGUUAGAUUUGCAAGAG
This 571-nucleotide unclassified non-coding RNA is filed under the name Hevea brasiliensis (rubber tree). Lineage: Eukaryota; Viridiplantae; Streptophyta; Magnoliopsida; Malpighiales; Euphorbiaceae. The record is from RNAcentral.